This 547-nucleotide ribosomal RNA is filed under the name uncultured bacterium. RNAcentral's name for it is "partial 16S ribosomal RNA". It matches the Rfam family "Bacterial small subunit ribosomal RNA", at positions 355 to 920 of the family's 1533-position model. The record is from RNAcentral.
UGGGGAAUAUUGGACAAUGGGCGCAAGCCUGAUCCAGCCAUGCCGCGUGAGUGAUGAAGGCCCUAGGGUUGUAAAGCUCUUUCACCGGUGAAGAUAAUGACGGUAACCGGAGAAGAAGCCCCGGCUAACUUCGUGCCAGCAGCCGCGGUAAGACGAAGGGGGCUAGCGUUGUUCGGAAUUACUGGGCGUAAAGCGAGUGUGGCGGUUGCCGUAGUCAGGUGUGAAAAGCCUUGAGCUCAACUCAAGAAAUGCACUUGAUACUGGGUGACUAGAGGACCGGAGAGGAUAGUGGAAUUCCCAGUGUAGUGGUGAAAUACGUAGAGAUUGGGAAGAACACCAGUGGCGAAGGCGGCUAUCUGGACGGUUACUGACGCUAAGACUCGAAAGCGUGGGGAGCAAACAGGAUUAGAUACCCUGGUAGUCCACGCCGUAAACGAUGGGUGCUAGACGUUGGCGAGCUUGCUCGUCAGUGUCGCAGCUAACGCGUUAAGCACCCCGCCUGGGGAGUACGGCCGCAAGGUUGAAACUCAAAUGAAUUGACGGGGUC